This 238-nucleotide ribosomal RNA is filed under the name uncultured bacterium. RNAcentral's name for it is "partial 16S ribosomal RNA". The record is from RNAcentral.
CUGCUGCCUUCCGUAGGAGUCUGGGCCGUGUCUCAGUCCCAAUGUGGCCGUUCAACCUCUCAGUCCGGCUACUGAUCGUCGCUUUGGUGGGCCAUUACCCCGCCAACUGGCUAAUCAGACGCGAGCUCAUCUUUGGACGAUAAAUCUUUGGCAGUAAAAUCAUGCGGUCUCGCUGCAUCAUGCGGUAUUAGCAGUCGUUUCCGGCUGUUAUCCCCCAUCCAAAGGCAGAUUGCUCACG